RNAcentral lists this ribosomal RNA (1179 nucleotides) under Triticum aestivum (bread wheat). RNAcentral describes it as "partial small subunit ribosomal RNA". The record is from RNAcentral. Lineage: Eukaryota; Viridiplantae; Streptophyta; Magnoliopsida; Poales; Poaceae.
AUGUACGUCUUGCUCCAACCUGGAGCUUCGGGAUUCCACCGACUGCGCUGGCGAUCAACUUCCUCGACGCCGCCCCCAUGCCGGCACGGCUGCCGUCGUUGCCAGAACCAAAACUUCGCCCAGAAGCUGCUCCAUUUCCACCCAGGCCGUCAGGCCAGUGCCAACGGAUCUGGAUGUUCUGAGCUGACAGGAACUCCUCCCGCAACGGGAACUUCGCCGAGAAGCGAAAAUCUUACGAGAAAUUCCAAUCCAGCGCCUUCCAUUCGCGGCGAGCUUCACUGGUUCGCCGGCGGCGAGUUCUCUACAGUUGUGCUACAGGUGAACAUGUUGUGCAACAGGUUUUGCUACAGGUGCACAUGUAAAAAAGAAGACACAUCAAUUCUCGCCGGUUCCGAUCAAGGCGUCUCGUCGGUGCUUGUCCAACUACAUCAAUUCAAUUCUCUACUCGCCAUUAAGCAAUACCCGGAUGCCAAUCCUGUGAAAGGUAAACAGGUGAUCGUUGCUGCAGAUUAUGUGCCUCAGACCACACAUGAACUAACACCGGAGCCGCGAUGGGAUGUCCCUGAUGCUGCUCACGCUAAGUUGAAUGUGGAUGGUGCCUUUGUCAAGGAUGAUGGCUCGGCUGGUGCGGGGAUGAUUCUUCGCGACCACGAAGCUGAGAUGGCUGCUGUGGAUGAAGGACUCCAGCUGGCCCUUCACUGGUCAAACUUUCCGCUGAUGGUGGAAACUGACUGUGCCGAUCUGCUGCAGCUGAUUCAGCCGAGGGAUGUUCAUAGAUCGCGCUAUAUGUAUGGCCCAGCUGUCCUAUGGGUUGCUGCUCUAGAGGCCGAAACCAAGCAAUGUGGUAAACUGGCCUGUUCAGCCAGCCCAACACCAUUCCUCCCCGCGAGCCUACGCCAGCCCACUCGGCCUCUAACUCUCGAAGAAACAAGCAAACAGCGAGGGGUGCCAGCAUCAGGAUCAGCAGCAGCGACCUACGUUUUCCCCUACAAGAACAAAUCGACGAUGGCAAAGAAGGCGUACUUCCCCAUGGCUUCUGCUGGUACAAAUCUCCUUCAUUCCUUAUCUUGGAAGUCGCUGCCGUCGGUGCCCUUGUGCUCAAAAUUCAUAUCCAUGUUGAUCCACCCUUCGGCUGUAAUCCAAGUGUCUUUGUGUUUUAACUCGAUUAAGACCAUUUGA